RNAcentral lists this long non-coding RNA (255 nucleotides) under Mytilus galloprovincialis (Mediterranean mussel). The record is from RNAcentral. Lineage: Eukaryota; Metazoa; Mollusca; Bivalvia; Mytilida; Mytilidae.
UCAAAGGAGUAGGUUCAAUAAGACCCCUUUUUGGCCCCAAAAUAUAGCAGUUUUACAAAAUUGUGAUAAUGUAAUCAUGAAGCUAUUUAUUGGAAAGUAGAAUGAUUCUGCUACAUAAAUAUGGGCUGUUUUUUGACAAUACAAUGCACAUAUAUCGGGUACUAGCAUCAUAAAGUCAUGCUAAAUUACUGAAAUCUUCACAGAAUUAGCAUUUUAGUUAAAUUUUAGACGGUUUCUGUCUAAAAUGAAAGUGGC